RNAcentral lists this long non-coding RNA (430 nucleotides) under Trifolium pratense (red clover). RNAcentral describes it as "long non-coding RNA (TPRA_LNC005029)". The record is from RNAcentral. Lineage: Eukaryota; Viridiplantae; Streptophyta; Magnoliopsida; Fabales; Fabaceae.
CUCGGCAACUAUAUAUCUACCACCAUAUCUCUAACAUUAAUUACCCGUUUUCUUGCGGAAUAAGACUAGGAAGAGUAUCAUGUUUUUUUUUUGAAUCUGGAAGAGUAUCAUGUUAAACACAUGUUUAUAUCAUCUCAUACUACAUUUUAGCUUAUAAUUGCCAGACAUUUUUGUGUGCAAUAACAAUAUGUCUUGUCCCCGUGAGUUUAGCUCAGUUGACAGGAUACUACAUUAUAUUUAUGUAUGUAGGGGUCGUUGUUCAAAUCCCAAACAUCUCACUUAUUCAUUUUAAAUGCGAAAUUUUUAGCCUAAUACUUGGUGAAGUCAAUUAUCUACAAGUUCCAUGCUUCAUACCUAUAGAUCAUCACAAAAAUUUAGUAGAAAUAAAAUCUGCAAUUGCCAAGCUUGAUGUUAAACCAGGUGACUCAAU